GAUGCACUACUGCAACAUCUGUAUUGAUGGCUUUAAAGCCUCCAGUCUAAACUUCAUGAUCUAGCUAUUCAGCUCAUACUUCAUAAGCCUGUGAAAAGCCCAAUAGCUAUCUACAGUGAUAUUCAUGGACAAUCUCAUUAUCUUCGAGAGCUUUUCCAUAGUGGAGGAAAGUUAUCACUUGGCAACAUUAUGAUGGUGAUGUUGAAGAACUCUAUCUGGACUUUAUAGGAACUGAAAGUCAUUUGGAAAACGACAUGUUAUUAAGCUCAAGCCUAGUGGAAAGGAUGUUAGUGUGACCAGGAAGAACAAAUUGCAGUACUUCCAUGUAACUGCUGAUUAUAAACUUAAUCUGACAGAUUUUUCUAUUUUCAAAUGCAUUCUAUGUAGUAACUGAUCUGAUAUCACCAACUUGGCUAAAAUUGUUUAAUGCAGGGAAAUUUAAUCAGAAAGAACACACAAUACACUGGUGGUCAAUCUGAAGGGACCUUGGCGAUUAAAAUCUUUUGGGAGGUUUCAAAAUCUCCAUAGAAGUGUCAUGCUCUAGAUUGAGCAAAAGAAAUUGGUAAU
Molecule: long non-coding RNA, 567 nt
Filed under: Rosa chinensis
Lineage: Eukaryota; Viridiplantae; Streptophyta; Magnoliopsida; Rosales; Rosaceae
Description: sRNA RchiOBHm_Chr1g0313761
Source: RNAcentral